GACGAACGCUGGCGGCGUGCUUAACACAUGCCAGUCGAACGGAAAGGCCCUGCUUUUGUGGGGUGCUCGAGUGGCGAACGGGUGAGUAACACGUGAGUAACCUGCCCUUGACUUUGGGAUAACUUCAGGAUACUGGGGCUAAUACCGGAUAGGAGCUCCUGCUGCAUGGUGGGGGUUGGAAAGUUUCGGCGGUUGGGGAUGGACUCGCGGCUUAUCAGCUUGUUGGUGGGGUAGUGGCUUACCAAGGCUUUGACGGGUAGCCGGCCUGAGAGGGUGACCGGCCACAUUGGGACUGAGAUACGGCCCAGACUCCUACGGGAGGCAGCAGUGGGGAAUAUUGCACAAUGGGCGGAAGCCUGAUGCAGCAACGCCGCGUGCGGGAUGACGGCCUUCGGGUUGUAAACCGCUUUCGCCUGUGACGAAGCGUGAGUGACGGUAAUGGGUAAAGAAGCACCGGCUAACUACGUG
This 468-nucleotide ribosomal RNA is filed under the name uncultured bacterium. Its description in RNAcentral is "partial 16S ribosomal RNA". It matches the Rfam family "Bacterial small subunit ribosomal RNA", at positions 28 to 507 of the family's 1533-position model. The record is from RNAcentral.